AACGAACGCUGGCGGCAUGCCUAACACAUGCAAGUCGAACGAGACCUUCGGGUAUAGUGGCUCACGGGUGCGUAACGCGUGGGAACCUGCCCUUAGGUUCGGAAUAACUCCCCGAAAGGGGUGCUAAUACCGGAUAAUGUCUUCGGACCAAAGAUUUAUCGCCUUUGGAUGGGCCCGCGUUGGAUUAGCUAGUUGGUAGGGUAAAAGCCUACCAAGGCGACGAUCCAUAGCUGGUCUGAGAGGAUGAUCAGCCAUACUGGGACUGAGACACGGCCCAGACUCCUACGGGAGGCAGCAGUGGGGAAUAUUGGACAAUGGGCGAAAGCCUGAUCCAGCAAUGCCGCGUGAGUGAUGAAGGCCUUAGGGUUGUAAAGCUCUUUUACCCGGGAUGAUAAUGACAGUACCGGGAGAAUAAGCUCCGGCUAACUCCGUG
Molecule: ribosomal RNA, 433 nt
Filed under: uncultured bacterium
Lineage: Bacteria
Description: partial 16S ribosomal RNA
Rfam family: Bacterial small subunit ribosomal RNA
Source: RNAcentral